RNAcentral lists this transfer RNA (65 nucleotides) under Endecameris sp. ZJUH 20220006. Its description in RNAcentral is "tRNA-Leu". Lineage: Eukaryota; Metazoa; Arthropoda; Insecta; Hymenoptera; Figitidae. The record is from RNAcentral.
UUUAAUAUGGCAGAUUAGUGCAAUGAAUUUAAAUUUCAUAAAUAAAAAAUAUUUUUUUAUUAAAA